CCACGCAGUCCACCCUCAGCAUCCUGGCACUGACAGAGACAUGGAUACGUCCUGAGGAUACAGCAACACCUGCUGCUCUCUCUAACAACUUCUCCUUCUCCCACACCCCUCGACAUACUGGUAGGGGUGGGGGAACAGGUCAGCUGACAAGCUUUCUUGAGGAAUUGGAUGUCCUGCUGUCCUCCUUGCCAGAGGAUGGCAGGCCACUUGUGGUUCUUGGUGAUUUCAACAUACACCAGGACAAACCCCAGGCCAUUGAACUGAAUACUCUUCUGGCCUCAUUUGACUUGGAAAGACUACACACCACAGCAACUCACAGGUCGGGCAACCAGCUGGACCUCAUUUUUACACACCAGCACGGACUACACCACCCAGCCCCUGGCUGUCUGACGUCCUUCGUGAACAUCGGACUGAUCUCAGGGCAGCUGAGAGGAGAUGGCGGAAAUCUAAAGAUCCAGCUGAUCUAGGUAAAUAUCAGCUUCUGCUCGCAACUUUUUCAAAUAACGUUAAAACUGCAAAAACUUCAUAUUACCAGACCAAGAUCAACAGCACCACAGACACUCGUAGCUUGUUUAGAACAUUUAACACACUUCUCUGCCCUCCCCCUCCACCACCUGACACAUCACUGACAGCAGAUAUAUUCGCCACAUUUUUUACUGAUAAGGUUACAGCCAUCAGCAAUACAUUCACAGCACCACACCCUGUCAAACACCUGGCUCCUGUAUGCAACCCUUCUUUCCCUAUGUUCUCUCCUUUAACUGACACUGAGGUCUCUAAACUCCUCCUCUCCAACCACCCCACAACCUGUUCCCUUGACCCCAUUCCAUCACACCUUCUCCAGGCCAUCUCUCCGUCCAUCCUACCGGCACUUACACACAUAAUUAACACAUCCCUUCUUGCAGGCACUUUUCCCACUACAUUUAAGCAGGCUCGAG
Molecule: long non-coding RNA, 935 nt
Organism: Xyrauchen texanus (razorback sucker)
Lineage: Eukaryota; Metazoa; Chordata; Actinopteri; Cypriniformes; Catostomidae
Exons: 3
Source: RefSeq, a predicted model, not a curated record